GAGAGAGAAGAGAGAGGAGAGAGAGAGGAGAGAAGAGAGAGGAGAGUGAGGGAGGAGAGAGAGGGAGGAUAGCUCUACGAUCUGUCCCCCAGCAGCUGGCUGCACCACAGCCAAACCUGUUUAAGAGCUGCCUAGCUGCCAGAGGAAAUCAGUGGUGUGAACGUUAGGGCUAUACAGCCAAUAACACAGAGAGGUAGACCACUAGGCAGGCAGGGAGACCACUAGUCAGAGAGGGAGACCACUAGUCAGGGAGGGAGACCACUAGUCAGGGAGGGAGACCACUAGGCAGGGAGGGAGACCACUAGGCAGGCAAGGAGGAAGGUCACUAGGCAGGCAGGGAGGAAGGUCACUAGGCAGGCAGGGAGGAAGGUCACUAGGCAGGCAGGGAGGGACACCACUAGGCAGGCAAGGAGGAAGGUCACUAGGCAGGGAGGAAGGUCGCUAAGGCAGGCAAGGAGGAAGGUCACUAGGCAGGCAGGGAGGGACACCACUAGGCAGGGAGGGACGGAGACCACUAGGCAGGGAGGGAGACCACUAGGCAGGGAGGGAGACCACUAGUCAGGGAGGGAGACCACUAGUCAGGGAGGGAGACCACUAGUCAGGGGGAUGGAGACC
Molecule: long non-coding RNA, 615 nt
Organism: Oncorhynchus tshawytscha (Chinook salmon)
Lineage: Eukaryota; Metazoa; Chordata; Actinopteri; Salmoniformes; Salmonidae
Source: Ensembl